Molecule: non-coding RNA, 572 nt
Submitted as: unclassified sequences
Source: Rfam
UGUUCUUUGAUAUGAAAAUGUCAACCAUGUGAAGAGAGGUGUCAACUUGCAUGGAGCGUGGCUAAACAAGGCUUAUUGCCUGAUGAAACGAUAGUUUAUCAGGAAGAAGUUGGAUAUAUAGCAAUAUAUAUCCUGAAUGAGGAAACCUCAAACUUAACCACGUGUGCAUACCUUGAAAUAUGUAAAGGAACUGAACUUGUCGUGUCUGCAAUAAAAAGUCGUGGAAACACGUCCUCUCCUACAAGCGAUAUAGUGGGAGCUAUAUAAAGCCAAUGUAGGAAAUACCCAACAAAGACAUUGCACGUGAUGUGUAGAAAUACACUAUAAGACAAGUAGCAGGUACAAGUAGCUCAGAGUGCGUAGAGGAACGAUUUCUACAGAUAACGAAGCUAACAGGAAAUUAUUAGAUCUGAAAGACGAGUGAAAGUUGGGGGUAUUAUUCCCCUCGUUGGUUCAAAAGGGUAAGAAGCUAUAAGGUCGCAACUUAUAGCUCAGACUUAUUCUCAAUGUGUCUGAAUAUACACGAUCAAGUGUUAUGUAUGGCGAAAGUCAGAUAUUUUCAUAUUAAUGGC